CAAGAAGGAGGGGGUCGUCAACACCGUAGUCGAACUGGGGGUCGCCGGCAGUCUCGGGGUCUACCGGAAAGAAGUAACGGAGGGGAAAUAUAAUAAAUAAUAGAGCAAUCAAGGUAUCACAAAGCAUAACAAGACAAUACGCAGUGCUAGAGGUGACCUAACGCGGUACUAAUUGACACCGGCAAAGGGGGGAAACAUCCGGGAAAGUAACCCCGGCGUUUCGCGUUUUCGGACAGAUGAACCGGAGGGGAAAGUUGUGUGUUCGCUAAGCUAGGGAUGUGUGGCGGACGAACAGGCUGCGUAUCCGGAAUCGUCUCGUCGUUCUGAGCAACUUUCAUGUACAAAGAUUUUCCAUCCGAGCUACGGUUUAUUUUCUAUGAAUUUCUGAAGUCUAAACAAUAUUCUGAAAUUAUUUCUAAUUAUUAAAUUUGACAGAAAAAGAAUAAUGACGUUAGCAUGAGGUCAGCGUGAUGUCAGCAGUCAACAGGGCGUUGACUGGUCAAACUGACGUAUGGAUCCCACUGUCAUAGACACAGUGUAGUUAAACAGUAUAAGACUAACUAAUCUAGUUAAUCAGGUUAUUAAGCAUGUUAAUUAAGUUAAUUAAUUAUAUUACUAAUUAAUUAAUUACUUUUUAUUUACUUUUUCAUUCCUUUUUUUUUCUGUUUUACAGGGGCUGUCCCACAUGUCAUAGGGUACAACAAAAGCUAAGUCUAAUAAAAUUAGUCUAACAAAGGGGCUUGUUUAACUAGGGAUUAGCCCCUAAGCUAGCAAAGGGCCGGCCACACUCAGAACACACAUACGCUGCACACACACCACACAACACACUUGGCCAUGGCCGUGGCCAUGGCCAGUAGCAGCAGCAGCCGGUGGUAGUGGGCAGCAGUAGUACCAGCAACAGAGCAGCAUAGCAGCGGCCUAAGCACGAAGCAGCAGUAACAGCAAUUAGCAGAUACAUCAGUAAUAAACAGCAGCAGAGAGCAGUGGCACAAGCAGUUCAGCGCAGCAGGCAGCGGCGAAAAGUAGCAGUUGCGGGCGCAACGCAAGACGACGGGAGCGGCGGGGUGUGGCCAGGGGACGGCCGGUGCACGGCCUGUCGCGGCCAGGGUGCGCGUGAUGGGUUCGGGUAGGUGCACGCAAGAGCGCGGGUGCGGCCACGGUGAGGUCCGUCCAUGGCGGACGAUGGAGCUUGGUGCUUGUAGGCUUCAGUAGUACGGCACGAAAUCGACGGGAAAACAAAGGGGAAAUCGAAGGGAGCUUACAACGGGGCUGUAGGGCAAGUCAGUGUGCUCGGGGGUGCGUCAGGGAUGGACUGGAGUAGCGGCAAUCGACGGCGGACGGAGACGAUGUACGCGGAGAUGACCAAGUUGAUGGCUAGCGUAUGAGACGUCCCGGCUCGAUUCGAUGCUCGGGAUAGACGGAGUCGAGGGUGGUGGUCCUCCUGGACAUCUUCUCAGGCGACAGGGAGGCCGGUGGCCAUGACGACGACGGCGACCAUGGAGGGCGCCGUUCGGUUGUAUGUUGCGGAGGAGAGAACGGCGCGAGGGAGG
This 1550-nucleotide long non-coding RNA is filed under the name Triticum aestivum (bread wheat). RNAcentral describes it as "long non-coding RNA (TAES_LNC005692)". Lineage: Eukaryota; Viridiplantae; Streptophyta; Magnoliopsida; Poales; Poaceae. The record is from RNAcentral.